RNAcentral lists this ribosomal RNA (735 nucleotides) under Triticum aestivum (bread wheat). RNAcentral describes it as "partial small subunit ribosomal RNA". Lineage: Eukaryota; Viridiplantae; Streptophyta; Magnoliopsida; Poales; Poaceae. The record is from RNAcentral.
AUGACCAAGAGGCAGACAGUGGAGGCGCUAGACAAAAGCAUGCGGGACAUAAUGGACAGACCAGAACUUCCAUUCAGUGGAAAAGCAAUAGUAUUUGGAGGCGAUUUUAGGCAAGUGCUACCUGUUGUUCGAAAGGGAACAAGAGCUCAGAUAGUAGAUGCAUCACUACGCAGGUCCGAGCUCUGGAGUUCAAUGCGUCAACUGAAGCUCGUGCGCAACAUGAGGGCUCAAAACGACAACUGGUUCGCGGAAUACCUCCUACGCAUUGGAAACGGAACAGAGGAGACAAAUGAAGAUGGUGAAAUACUACUACCAACAAGUAUACGUGUGGCAAAUAAGACGGAUGACAAUGGCCUGGAUAUGCUCAUCGACAAUGUCUACCAAAUGGACAAUGCUUCCCUAAAAGAUCCAAAGUACAUCACGUCAAGAGCAAUUCUAUCAACAAGGAACGACUCCGUAGACAUAAUCAACCUAAAAAUGAUUGAUCGCAUCCAGGGGGAGGAGAUGGUGUAUCACAGCUUUGAUUCGGUAGAAGACGACCCACAUAACUACUAUCCACCAGAAUUCCUAAACACUCUCACCCCAAAUGGACUGCCUCCACAUAUGUUGAAGCUCAAAAUUAAUUGCCCAAUCAUACUACUCAGGAACAUCGACCCUGCUAAUGGACUAUGCAACGGCACGAGGUUGGUCGUACGCGGAUUUCAAAAAAAUAUAAUUGACCAGAGAUUGUGGUGA